Molecule: non-coding RNA, 3822 nt
Organism: Phalacrocorax carbo (great cormorant)
Lineage: Eukaryota; Metazoa; Chordata; Aves; Suliformes; Phalacrocoracidae
Source: RefSeq, a predicted model, not a curated record
CCCUGGAGGGCGAGGCGCCGCUGUCACCAGCCCCAGGAGACGACGGCGGGGUGCGCUAAGUGCUGGGAAGGUAGCAGCACUGGUACUGUCAGGAGGCAGCGGGGCCACGUGCACAAUGGCUGAAAGAACGACCACCCAAAGUGAUGCAUUUCAGUAUUGAAGAUGCACAGAGACCUGUAUCAGUUGACCUCAGUCUGUGACCAGCGGAGUAAAGAGUCACUAACUCAGAAAGGUACCAAAAUCAGGAGCCUCAGAAUCUGCCAUCAGGAGUCUUGAAAUGGAGACAGAAAAACAGGGCAGGUCUCAUCUGUAGAGUGGCAGCAAGACAGUAAGAAGAUCCAGAAACUCAGGCUCCAGGAUUCUCCUAUGACUAGCAUGUGAAAUGCGUGUUACAUUUUGGGUACCACACCUAAUGAAGGGGGGCCUGGCUCAGUGCAUCUUCACAUUAUUCUUCUGCAUCUCCAAUCCAAUUAUUUGAGUUACAUUAGCUGUAAAACAUAGUAGUGCAAUACACAGUCAGAUCCUGGAUUUUUAGUCCAUUGUGAAGAUGUAACACUCACUGGUCAGCAUGAUCUCUAAUAGAUUCUAUUAGCAUAAGAUAAUUGCAUUUAUGCAAUGCAUCUAUGCCAACUCAAACACACCAAAAUCAAUAUUGACUAAUAAGCUCUCAAUAAUCUUUUAAAUAAACUCAGUGUCCUCUUUUCAAAACAAAACAACCCCCCCAGCUGAAACAAUAAGAGAUAAAAUAAAAUAUAGGUAGAGCUAUGAAAGCCAGUGAGUAUUGAGAUUUUUUUUACAUAAAGCCAGAUUCAGAGUGCUUGUGUAUAUCUCUAUAGCCCCAUUGACUUAGUGGAACUACCUUGAUUUAAACCAGUUAAGUUGCUGGCUCUAGCUAUUUUAUUCCCUUCUUUAUUGCCUUACCAUGCCAGGUUUACAGAACAGACAGGAGAAAUGAAGGCUUGCAACACUUGAAAAUGAGCUGAAAUUUUGCAGUGCUGGUUAAGUGUUUAACUGCUCGUCAAGGUUAACAAUGUGUUUAGUGUGCACACAUGAGGGAAAUCUUAAACAAGUGGAUUUACAGAAACAAGCCUUUGCUAGAUUGAGAGGAUAAAGGUCUAUAGCUACAAGUUGGAAGAUAAUUGCUUGAAAAUAUUGCUAUAAAAAUAAACCAUAAACCUCCAUGACCAGCUUCAGAUAAUAUCUUGGGAACAGGCUGCAUGCCAAGAAACAGCAGGGAACAUAAGAGCUAACGCUCACUCUUCUGCGUCCAGCAGCACUCCAGCAUGGACUGUCCACUCCCAGCCCAGCUGGAUGCCCAAGUCAGGCUCGCCUGGCCAGAAAAUUGCAUCGUACAAAUGGCAAUAACAGAGACGAGAAUCAGACACUACAGCAUCCGCACUCUACAGCAUCUUAGAGGAAGAACUGUGCUAAAUAGAGUUCCCACCCUCAGUACAGAAAACUCCCUUCAUCCUUUUUCAAAUUUUUUUCUUUUUUUCUUCUUCCCUUCAGUGUCAUAUAUAACUCUUCCGUGGCACGACAGCUGGCACACAGCGCCAGGUUACAGCUCCUGUAGUCCGCAAUAAUACGGGUCCAUAAACUUUUAUUGAAAAAAAUCUGCCUCGUUUGUCCAUUCCUACAGAGCUGUUUAAAGAUACUCUUGUCACUAAAAAGGUAUAAAUACGCUUGAGCUGGUAAAGGCAUAGUUUGUAUUGGCAUUUUGGGCAUCAAACAGGGAAUUACAACAUACUAAAGUCUGCAGUCUGGCCACAGCCUGUAGGAGUUUACCUCUGGAGUGUAUUGGCAGUAGGUUGUGUCCUUCAGCAUUGGAAAGAAUAGUGCCAGAGCUUCUGCUUUUUUUCUUACCAUCUUUUUGGCCUUUCAAAAUUGCUUGCCAUCCCUUUUCUCCUAGGAAGGUGUAAACAGCAAGUAAGCAGCAUGGUUUCUGUGCCUGUAGGUUUGAAAGUCUCUUCCUCUCCAGCUUUUUGCCUCGGACAUAAUCUGAGAUAUAUUUUAGCCUAUUAAAGAAAAAUUACUAUAAUUAGCAUUCAGCAUCAAUAUUUUAGAGGUGUUAUACAGUUCAAAAUAUAUAUUUACAUCAGAAACAAUGCAUUACCCUCACUGUAAUCUUUGUUUAAGGUCACUACGCAAGCAAAUAUUUUCAAGUAUUUUCAACACGUUGGUUUUUUUUCCAAAUAUAAUACAAAAAGACAUGCUAUAAUGUUGCCCUUAAUCAUGAGCUAAUUACAAUCCUGUUGUAAUAGACAACCUGGCUUCUAAGGUCCUUUCAGGAAAUGAUAUCCUGCAAACAAAAGCUAGAUAUGAACCUUUUUUGAAAGCUGAACUUUUAUGUUAAUAUAAUAUCAAGACUUGGGGAUUUACAGGAAAAAAUCAAAUUACUAUAAAUCUGUGAGACUCACUAGCCCUCACUAGUCCUUUGCUCUGACAAUAUAAAAUGCCUUUCCAGGGCAUCUGCAUUGUGUUCGUAUCCACUUUAACAUCCUUUGAUAUUUAUUGGUAAAGUGAGGCCCUUAGUUUAAAUAACAAUUUGCACUUCUAUCUUUUACGGUAGUGUAGUACCACAUUCCAGCCUUGAAGAAUGAACAUUGUUCAGGGGGCUCAUGUUAUAAGGUAGUGGAGAAUCACAAAUAUUGGUUAAGCCCUAAAUGCCACGAAAGACAGUGAUUUUUAAUGGGAAUCUGUGGUUUUAGGAAGGAAGAGGUUGGCUGAGGUCUUCCUGCAACUUGGCCAUUUGAUCCUGUUCAGAAAGAUAGAAAGACCACCUGCGAUGACAGGAGAUUUUAAGGCCUCUAAAGCCAUGUGCUGAGGAAAAUAUCAACCCUUGCUAAGUCUGCUGAUUUGAACCUACAGCAGCAACAUUAAAUACUUCAGGGAAUGAAGCUCACUGGCAAUCCUCUGAUACUCAGUCCUACGGCAGUUGGGAUGAAUGGGAUCAAUCCAGUUUGACAGUGAUUCAAAACUAAACAGUACAUUUUUGAGAUCUUCAGUGAAAUGAGUUGAUGGAAACAGUUCUUUCCCCAGUGAGUGGAGGAUUAAUGGCCCAGUGAAUGCUGGAGCCAGUAGCAUGUAUGCAACUGACUAACCCCCUUUACCGGAGCUCAGUAAGGAGCUCAGAGAAUGAGGGCUUGUGGAAAUGCAUCUAGGUUUUUGCUGUACACGUUCUGUUCAUAGGUAUUAUGUUGCCUUCUCCAGGGUAGGCCAACUGGCAUAAACAGUAAAAAAAUCACAUAGAUGUUUGAGGGUCAUACAUGGGACAAAGAAGCCACUGGGACUUGGACAUAUGAAGAGAACAGUCUGUUUUCACCCUUCCUGCAUUUCUUUCUUUGUAACAGUCUGAAAUAUUUCAUGGCAGCAUAAAGACAACAACAGAGAAAGGGAGUCCUAGCAAUGUUUGUUUUUAAAGUGUCUUUCCCACACAACGUCCUUUAAGACUGGCAAGUAAAAAGCUCUUGUCAACCUUCCACUCCAUUUAUUUCUCUGGCUCCACAACGUGCUCUCCCUCCUUGCAUCCUUCUGCAGCCUGCUGCUGGCUCUUUGUUGUCUGGAGACUCACUAGGAUUCUAACAUUCUACCUAAAUUGCUCCGUGGAAAAAUAUCAGAAUAUUUCAUUUCAUCAGCUUGAAGUUGUUUGCUUCUCUACAGUUGAAGCACUUCAAUUCAGCUGUAAUAUUUUGACUUUAGCAAAAUAACAAAAUACCCUAAACUGUAAGCACUGAAGUCAAUGCAAAAAGAUUGAAGCUUGCUGUGGGUGCCUUUUUGAUGUGUUUCAUGUCAUGAGCAAUUUUGACUUUUUAUUUCACUUCU